RNAcentral lists this ribosomal RNA (365 nucleotides) under uncultured bacterium. RNAcentral describes it as "bacterial SSU rRNA". It matches the Rfam family "Bacterial small subunit ribosomal RNA", at positions 30 to 393 of the family's 1533-position model. The record is from RNAcentral.
AUUGAACGCUGGCGGCAGGCCUAACACAUGCAAGUCGAGCGGUAGAGAGGUGCUUGCAUCUCUUGAGAGCGGCGGACGGGUGAGUAAUGCCUAGGAAUCUGCCUAGUGGUGGGGGAUAACGUUCGGAAACGGACGCUAAUACCGCAUACGUCCUACGGGAGAAAGCGGGGGGAUCUUCGGACCUCGCGCCAUUAGAUGAGCCUAGGUCGGAUUAGCUAGUUGGUGAGGUAAUGGCUCACCAAGGCGACGAUCCGUAACUGGUCUGAGAGGAUGAUCAGUCACACUGGAACUGAGACACGGUCCAGACUCCUACGGAGGCAGCAGUGGGGAAUAUUGGACCAAUGGGCGAAAGCCUCGAUCCAGCC